Molecule: ribosomal RNA, 1344 nt
Filed under: uncultured bacterium
Lineage: Bacteria
Description: partial 16S ribosomal RNA
Rfam family: Bacterial small subunit ribosomal RNA
Source: RNAcentral
GACGAACGCUGGCGGCGUGCUUAACACAUGCAAGUCGAACGGAAAGGCCCCCUUGUGGUUGACUCCACUGGCGAACGGGUGAUUAACACCUGAGUAACCUUCCCUUGUGUUUGUCAUAACUUCCCGAAACUGGUGCUACUACCACAUAAGAGCUCCUGCUGCAUGAUGGCGUUUGGAAAAUUUCUUUCGGUGGGGAAGGACUCCCCGCUUAUCCACUUGGUGGUGGGGUAAUGGCUCUCCAAAGCUUUCAACGGUAACCCGGCUGAAAAGGUGACCCGCCCCCUUGGGACUGAAAUACCGCCCAAAAUCCUACCGGAAGCAACAAUGGGGAAUAUUGCACAAUGGGCGGAAGCCUGAUGCCACCACCCCCCGUGCGGGAAGACCGCCUUCCGGUUGUAAACCUCUUUCCCCUGUGACCAAACGUGAUUGACGACAAUGCCUAAAGAAGAACCGGCUAACUACUUGCCACCAGCCGCGGUGAUACUUAGGGUGCGAGCAUUGUCCUCAUUUAUUGCUCGUAAAGGACUCCUAGGAGGUUGAUCGCCUCGGAAGUGAAAUCUUGCCGCUUAUCCCUGAGCGUGCUUUCGAUACUGCUUGACUUAGAGAAGGUAAGGGAGAACGGAAAUCCUGGUGGAACGGUGGGAUGCGCCGAUAUCCGGAGGAACACCAGUGGGAGAGGCGAUUGUUGUGACCUGUCAUGACGCUGAGGAGCGAAAAGCUGGGGAACGAACCGGGUUAAAAUCCCUGGUAGUUCCAGCCGUAAACGGUGGGUACUAGGUGUGGAGUCCAUUCCACGGAGUUCGUGCCGUAGCUAACGCAUUAAGUACCCCGCCUGGGGAGUACGGCCGCAAGGCUAAAACUCAAAGGAAUUGACGGGGCCCCGCACAAGCGGCGGAGCAUGCGGAUUAAUUCGAUGCAACGCGAAGAACCUUACCUGGGUUUGACAUGCAUCAGGAGGUCUGCAGAGAUGGGUAUGCCUCUUUUGGGGUGGGUUCACAGGUGGCACAUGGCUGUUGUCAUCUUGUGUCGAGAGAUGUUGGUUAAUGUCCCACAAAGAGCGCAACCCUUGUUCUCUGUUCCACGCACUAUAUGGUGGGGUCUCAGUGGAGACCGCCGGGGUCCUCUCAGAAGAAGGUGGGGAAGAUGUCAUGUCCUCACGCCCCUUAUGUACAGGGUUUCACGCAUUCCACAAUGGCCGGCACAAAGAGUCGGGACCCUGUGAGGGUGAGGGAAUCUCGGAAAGCCGGUCUCAGUUCGGAUUGGGGUCUGCAACUCGACCUCAUGAAGUCGGAGUCGCUAGUAAUCGCAGAUCAGCAACGCUGCGGUGAAUACGUUCCCGGGCCU